Molecule: transfer RNA, 84 nt
Filed under: Prevotellaceae bacterium
Lineage: Bacteria; Pseudomonadati; Bacteroidota; Bacteroidia; Bacteroidales; Prevotellaceae
Description: tRNA-Leu
Rfam family: tRNA
About the family: Transfer RNA (tRNA) molecules are approximately 80 nucleotides in length. Their secondary structure includes four short double-helical elements and three loops (D, anti-codon, and T loops). Further hydrogen bonds mediate the characteristic L-shaped molecular structure. tRNAs have two regions of fundamental functional importance: the anti-codon, which is responsible for specific mRNA codon recognition, and the 3' end, to which the tRNAs corresponding amino acid is attached (by aminoacyl-tRNA synthetases). tRNAs cope with the degeneracy of the genetic code in two manners: having more than one tRNA (with a specific anti-codon) for a particular amino acid; and 'wobble' base-pairing, i.e. permitting non-standard base-pairing at the 3rd anti-codon position.
Source: RNAcentral
GCCCGGGUGGUGGAAUUGGUAGACACACUACUUUGAGGGGGUAGCGCCGGUUACGGCGUGCAAGUUCGACUCUUGUCCCGGGCA